This 468-nucleotide ribosomal RNA is filed under the name uncultured bacterium. RNAcentral's name for it is "partial 16S ribosomal RNA". It matches the Rfam family "Bacterial small subunit ribosomal RNA", at positions 28 to 507 of the family's 1533-position model. The record is from RNAcentral.
GACGAACGCUGGCGGCGUGCUUAACACAUGCAAGUCGAACGGAAAGGCCCUGCUUUUGUGGGGUGCUCGAGUGGCGAACGGGUGAGUAACACGUGAGUAACCGGCCCUUGACUUUGGGAUAACUUCAGGAAACUGGGGCUAAUACCGGAUAGGAUCUCCUGCUGCAUGGUGGGGGGUGGAAAGUUUCGGCUGUUGGGGAUGGACUCGCGGCUUAUCAGCUUGUUGGUGGGGUAGUGGCUUACCAAGGCUUUGACGGGUAGCCGGCCUGAGAGGGUGACCGGCCACAUUAGGACUGAGGUACGGCCCAGACUCCUACGGGAGGCAGCAGUGGGAAAUAUUGCCCAAUGGGCGGAAGCCUGAUGCAGAAGCGCCGCGUGCGGGAUGACGGCCUGCGGGUUGUAAACCGCUUUCGCCUGUGACGACGCGUGAGUGACGGUAAUGGGUAAAGAAGCACCGGCUAACUACGUG